AACGAGCCUAUUUCAGAUUGCAGGAAGAUGGAUUCUCCAGCCAGUUCCGCCACCACAGGCUGCGGAUCCCGAGCCCAUUGAACCCUCCAGGACCUGGACACUGGACCUGCCGUCCUGCCUUCUCCCUUAUCUCGGUGCUUGGCAGGUGCCAUGGAUUUCACACUUCCACUGACCUCUGAGCGCUGCCAAAGCCAGGGAGGCACAUCGGGCAGAUAACGUGUCCCCAGUGUCCCCAUUCCACCUCUGCCUUCCCGAGUCCCUUAGGCUCUGGGGAGAGUUACUUAAAAAUAUGCCAGAUUUAAGGUCUGUCUGAAGUCAAAUAAAAAUUCUGCAUUGUUUAAAUCACAUUUCCGUGGCCUUCAUAUUUAAUAAAGGAGUUGUAUU
Molecule: long non-coding RNA, 384 nt
Filed under: Ficedula albicollis (Collared flycatcher)
Lineage: Eukaryota; Metazoa; Chordata; Aves; Passeriformes; Muscicapidae
Description: lncRNA (ENSFALG00000027275.1)
Source: RNAcentral